AGUCUGGUGCCAGCAGCCGCGGUAAUACGGAGGAUGCAAGCGUUAUCCGGAAUCAUUGGGCGUAAAGCGUCCGCAGGUGGUUUCCAAAGUCUGCUGUUAAAGACUGGAGCUCAACUCCGGAACGGCGGUGGAAACUUGGAAACUAGAGUUCGGUAGGGGUAGCAGGAAUUCCCAGUGUAGCGGUGAAAUGCGUAGAUAUUGGGAAGAACAUCGGUGGCGAAGGCGUGCUACUGGACCGUAACUGACACUCAGGGACGAAAGCUAGGGGAGCGAAAGGGAUUAGAUACCCCUGUAGUCCUAGCUGUAAACGAUGGAAACUAGGUGUGGCUUGUAUCGACCCGAGCCGUGCCGUAGCUAACGCGUUAAGUUUCCCGCCUGGGGAGUACGCACGCAAGUGUGAAACUCAAAGGAAUUGACGGGGGCCCGCACAAGCGGUGGAGUAUGUGGUUUAAUUCGAUGCAACGCGAAGAACCUUACCAGGGCUUGACAUGUCGCGAAUCUCGGUGAAAGCUGAGAGUGCCUUCGGGAGCGCGAACACAGGUGGUGCAUGGCCGUUCUUA
RNAcentral lists this ribosomal RNA (560 nucleotides) under Candidatus Atelocyanobacterium thalassae. RNAcentral's name for it is "bacterial SSU rRNA". It matches the Rfam family "Bacterial small subunit ribosomal RNA", at positions 500 to 1057 of the family's 1533-position model. Lineage: Bacteria; Bacillati; Cyanobacteriota; Cyanophyceae; Chroococcales; Aphanothecaceae. The record is from RNAcentral.